RNAcentral lists this transfer RNA (73 nucleotides) under Dermacoccus sp. 147Ba. It matches the Rfam family "tRNA". From Rfam's summary of the family: Transfer RNA (tRNA) molecules are approximately 80 nucleotides in length. Their secondary structure includes four short double-helical elements and three loops (D, anti-codon, and T loops). Further hydrogen bonds mediate the characteristic L-shaped molecular structure. tRNAs have two regions of fundamental functional importance: the anti-codon, which is responsible for specific mRNA codon recognition, and the 3' end, to which the tRNAs corresponding amino acid is attached (by aminoacyl-tRNA synthetases). tRNAs cope with the degeneracy of the genetic code in two manners: having more than one tRNA (with a specific anti-codon) for a particular amino acid; and 'wobble' base-pairing, i.e. permitting non-standard base-pairing at the 3rd anti-codon position. The record is from Rfam by way of RNAcentral. Lineage: Bacteria; Bacillati; Actinomycetota; Actinomycetes; Micrococcales; Dermacoccaceae.
GCCCUCGUAGCCCAACGGCAGAGGCAGGCGACUUAAAAUCGCUGUGUUGCGGGUUCGACUCCCGUCGAGGGCA